RNAcentral lists this ribosomal RNA (301 nucleotides) under uncultured bacterium. RNAcentral's name for it is "partial 16S ribosomal RNA". It matches the Rfam family "Bacterial small subunit ribosomal RNA", at positions 509 to 809 of the family's 1533-position model. The record is from RNAcentral.
CAGUCGCCGCGGGAAUACGUAGGGUGCAAGCGUUAAUCGGAAUUACUGGGCGUAAAGCGUGCGCAGGCGGUUUGUUAAGACAGAUGUGAAAUCCCCGGGCUCAACCCAGGGGCUGCACGAGAAACUGCAGGGCUUGAGUAUGGGAGAGGUGAGUGGAAUUUCCGGUAGCGGUGAAAUGCGUAGAUAUCGGAAGGAACACCUGUGGCGAAAGCGGCUCACUGGACCAUUACUGACGCUGAGGCGCGAAAGCUAGGGGAGCAAACAGGAUUAGAUACCCCUGUAGUCCCUGUCUCUUAUACAC